RNAcentral lists this ribosomal RNA (466 nucleotides) under uncultured bacterium. RNAcentral describes it as "partial 16S ribosomal RNA". It matches the Rfam family "Bacterial small subunit ribosomal RNA", at positions 29 to 507 of the family's 1533-position model. The record is from RNAcentral.
ACGAACGCUGGCGGCGUGCUUAACACAUGCAAGUCGCACAGAAAGGCCCUGCUUUUGUGGGGUGCUCGAGUGGCGAACGGGUGAGUAACACGUGAGUAACCUGCCCUUGACUUUGGGAUAACUUCAGGAAACUGGGGCUAAUACCGGAUAGGAGCUCCUGCUGCAUGGUGGGGGUUGGAAAGUUUCGGCGGUUGGGGAUGGACUCGCGGCUUAUCAGCUUGUUGGUGGGGUAGUGGCUUACCAAGGCUUUGACGGGUAGCCGGCCUGAGAGGGUGACCGGCCACAUUGGGACUGAGAUACGGCCCAGACUCCUACGGGAGGCAGCAGUGGGAAUAUUGCACAAUGGGCGGAAGCCUGAUGCAGCAACGCCGCGUGCGGGAUGACGGCCUUCGGGUUGUAAACCGCUUUCGCCUGUGACGAAGCGUGAGUGACGGUAAUGGGUAAAGAAGCACCGGCUAACUACGUG